ACGGGGUGCAGCAGGCGCGAAACCUUCACAAUGUGCGAAAGCGCGAUGAGGGGAUCCCAAGUGCUUGCUCGUAAGAGUAAGCUGUUUUUAUGUCUAAAAAGCAUAGAGAGUAAGGGCUGGGUAAGACGGGUGCCAGCCGCCGCGGUAAUACCUGCAGCUCAAGUAGUGACCGCUAUUAUUGGGCCUAAAACGUUCGUAGCCGGUUUGAUAAAUGCCUGGGUAAAUAGUGUAGCUUAACUAUACGAAUUCCGGGUAGACUGUUAAACUUGAGACCGGGAGAGGCUAGAGGUACUCCUGGGGUAGAGGUGAAAUUCUGUAAUCCUGAGGGGACCACCAGUGGCGAAGGCGUCUAGCUAGAACGGGUCUGACGGUGAGGAACGAAGCCCUGGGGCGCGAACCGGAUUAGAUACCCGGGUAGUCCAGGGUGUAAACGCUGCUUGCUUGAUGUUAGUUGGGCUCCGAGCCCAAUUAGUGUCGGAGAGAAGUUGUUAAGCAAGCUGCCUGGGAAGUACGAUCGCAAGAUUGAAACUUAAAGGAAUUGGCGGGGGAGCACAGCAACGGGUGGAGCGUGCGGUUUAAUUGGAUUCA
This 588-nucleotide ribosomal RNA is filed under the name uncultured archaeon. RNAcentral describes it as "bacterial SSU rRNA". It matches the Rfam family "Archaeal small subunit ribosomal RNA", at positions 325 to 914 of the family's 1478-position model. The record is from RNAcentral.